AGUCCCCUACGGGACGCAGCAGUAGGGAAUCUUCCACAAUGGACGAAAGUCUGAUGGAGCAACGCCGCGUGAGUGAAGAAGGGUUUCGGCUCGGAAAGCUCUGUUGGUAGUGAAGAAAGAUAGAGGUAGUAACUGGCCUUUAUUUGACGGUAAUUACUUAGAAAGUCACGGCUAACUACGUGCCAGCAGCCGCGGUAAUACGUAGGUGGCAAGCGUUGUCCGGAUUUAUUGGGUUUAAAGGGUGCGCAGGCGGUCUGUUAAGGCAGCGGUCAAAGCCCGGGGGUCAACCCCGGCCCGCCGUUGAA
RNAcentral lists this ribosomal RNA (305 nucleotides) under uncultured bacterium. RNAcentral's name for it is "bacterial SSU rRNA". It matches the Rfam family "Bacterial small subunit ribosomal RNA", at positions 335 to 631 of the family's 1533-position model. The record is from RNAcentral.